CAUACGGCUCAGUAACACGUAGUCAACAUGCCCAGGGGACGUGGAUAACCUCGGGAAACUGAGGAUAAACCGCGAUAGGUCAUCACUUCUGGAAUGGGUAAUGACUUAAAUCUAUAUGGCCCCUGGAUUGGACUGCGGCCGAUCAGGCUGUUGGUGAGGUAAUGGCCCACCAAACCUGUAACCGGUACGGGCUCUGAGAGGAGGAGCCCGGAGAUGGGCACUGAGACAAGGGCCCAGGCCCUAUGGGGCGCAGCAGGCGCGAAACCUCUGCAAUAGGCGAAAGCUUGACAGGGUUACUCUGAGUGAUUUCCGUUAAGGAGAUCUUUUGGCACCUCUAAAAAUGGUGCAGAAUAAGGGGUGGGCAAGUCUGGUGUCAGCCGCCGCGGUAAUACCAGCACCCCGAGUGGUCGGGACGUUUAUUGGGCCUAAAGCAUCCGUAGCCGGUUCUACAAGUCUUCCGUUAAAUCCACCUGCUUAACAGAUGGGCUGCGGAAGAUACUAUAGAGCUAGGAGGCGGGAGAGGCAAGCGGUACUCGAUGGGUAGGGGUAAAAUCCGUUGAUCCAUUGAAGACCACCAGUGGCGAAGGCGGCUUGCCAGAACGCGCUCGACGGUGAGGGAUGAAAGCUGGGGGAGCAAACCGGAUUAGAUACCCGGGUAGUCCCAGCUGUAAACGAUGCAGA
This 681-nucleotide ribosomal RNA is filed under the name uncultured Nitrososphaerota archaeon. RNAcentral describes it as "bacterial SSU rRNA". It matches the Rfam family "Archaeal small subunit ribosomal RNA", at positions 82 to 766 of the family's 1478-position model. The record is from RNAcentral. Lineage: Archaea; Thermoproteati; Nitrososphaerota.